UAAAAUGUAAAAUUAAAUUAAAUUAAAUUAAAUUAAAUUAAAUUCAUUCAUUUGGCGCCCUCUCCCACCCUGCACAUAUACUAGUUAACAGGGGCAGCUUCCCCACAGAGCAAGAUGAAGCGAUGGCCUGAAGUGGCAAUUGCACCACAGGAUGAUGGAUGUGGAUACCCUGCCCCUUGCUGUGGACGUCACUCCACCUUCCUGCUGCUGUAGCUCUCCCUCUAUGUUUCCCUACCUUGCUAGCUUGAAGCUGCUCCUCCUUCUCGCCUUCUGGGCACACUCUGCCCUCUGGCCUGCCCAGCUCUUUGCAGAUCCAGCAAAUGGCUUUAGCUUCCUGCUGGCCUCUCCUUGUCGCUGCUGCUGCUGCUGCUGGGUGCUGAGCAAGUGCUAGUGUUGGAGCAGCAGCAGCAGCAGUGGGAGCUGGGAGCGGCCAGGGGGAAGCUGCAGCCACUUGUUGGAUCUGCCACCAGCAGGGCAGGCCAGGAGGCAGAGUGUGCCCAGAAGAUUUGUGAGGUCCAGUUCUUCAUUCCUAAACCAGCUGAUUGAUCCCGCUUUACGUGUGCAGCUGUGUCUUGGUAUGGUGCUUCCUGUCUCUUCCGGUCUUUCCAGCUAGACUAAUCUUCCAACAGACUGGUCCCUGUGGAGUGUUCGUGGAGACUUCCCUCCAUCAGAAGCGUUUCUGUAGCUGGCUGCUGCUAUCAUUUCUUAUGUGUACUUUUUUUUUUUUUUUAAUAUGGUGCUAUUUUAAAAAUGUGUGACUGAAUGUGCUUGCUGCCUUGAGUGCUUCGUUACAAAAUAGAAAGGCAAGAUACAAAUCUUAAAAUAAAUAAAACUUGUUCUUCCCCUAACAA
This is a long non-coding RNA of Hemicordylus capensis (graceful crag lizard), 851 nucleotides long. RefSeq lists it as uncharacterized. The record is from RefSeq and is a predicted model, not a curated record. The transcript is spliced from 2 exons. NCBI's taxonomy places the organism in Eukaryota, Metazoa, Chordata, Lepidosauria, Squamata, Cordylidae.